RNAcentral lists this ribosomal RNA (788 nucleotides) under Pseudocosmospora shenongjiana. RNAcentral describes it as "Pseudocosmospora sp. ZZ-2020b partial large subunit ribosomal RNA". It matches the Rfam family "Eukaryotic large subunit ribosomal RNA", at positions 92 to 912 of the family's 3401-position model. Lineage: Eukaryota; Fungi; Ascomycota; Sordariomycetes; Hypocreales; Nectriaceae. The record is from RNAcentral.
AGUGAAGCGGCAGCAGCUCAAAUUUGAAAUCUGGCCCCUGGGUCCGAGUUGUAAUUUGUAGAGGAUGCUUUUGGUGCGGUGCCUUCCGAGUUCCCUGGAACGGGACGCCAUAGAGGGUGAGAGCCCCGUCUGGUUGGACGCCAAUCCUCUGUAAAGCUCCUUCGACGAGUCGAGUAGUUUGGGAAUGCUGCUCUAAAUGGGAGGUAUAUGUCUUCUAAAGCUAAAUACCGGCCAGAGACCGAUAGCGCACAAGUAGAGUGAUCGAAAGAUGAAAAGCACUUUGAAAAGAGGGUUAAACAGUACGUGAAAUUGUUGAAAGGGAAGCGCUUGUGACCAGACUUGAGCCCGGACAAUCACCCAGCCUUCUGGCUGGUGCACUUGGCCGGCUCAGGCCAGCAUCAGUUUGGCGCGGGGGACAAAGGCCCUGGGAAUGUGGCUCCUCCGGGAGUGUUAUAGCCCAAGGCGCAAUGCCCUGCGCUGGACUGAGGUUCGCGCGUCUGCAAGGAUGCUGGCGUAAUGGUCAUCAGCGACCCGUCUUGAAACACGGACCAAGGAGUCGUCUUCGUAUGCGAGUGUUCGGGUGUCAAACCCCUACGCGUAAUGAAAGUGAACGCAGGUGAGAGCUUCGGCGCAUCAUCGACCGAUCCUGAUGUUCUCGGAUGGAUUUGAGUAAGAGCAUACGGAGCCGGACCCGAAAGAAGGUGAACUAUGCCUGUAUAGGGUGAAGCCAGAGGAAACUCUGGUGGAGGCUCGCAGCGGUUCUGACGUGCAAAUCGAUCGUCAAAUAU